GGCUUAAUGAAUAUAAUUUUAAGUCAAUCUGCCCAAUGAUUUUUUAAAUUUAAUGGCUGCAGUAUAAUUGACUGUACAAAGGUAGCAUAAUCAAUUGUUUCUUAAUUAGAAACUGGAAUGAAAGAAUUAAUGAGAUAUAUACUGUCUCAUAUAUAUUUAAUUAAAUUAAAAUUUUAGUAAAAAUGCUAAAAUAAUUUUAUGGGACGAUAAGACCCUAUAGAAUUUUAUAUUAAUAUAUAAAUUUAAUUUAUUUUGUAAAUUAAUAUUUAAUUGGGAGGAUUAAUAAAUUUAUUGAACUUUAUUUUAAAUAUUAACUUUGAUUUAAGAAUUUUUUAUGAUCUUAUUUUAUAAAUUAUAAGAAAAAAUUACCUUAGGGAUAACAGCGUAAUAUCUUUUUAAAGAUCAAAUUGAUAAAGAUGAUUGCGACCUCGAUGUUGAAUUAAGAUAAAUUUUAAAUGGAGAAAUUUAAUAAUUAAGUCUGUUCGACUUUUAAAAUCUUACAUGAUUUGAGUUCAAAUCGACGUGAGU
This 528-nucleotide ribosomal RNA is filed under the name Bombus niveatus. Its description in RNAcentral is "partial 16S ribosomal RNA". The stretch from base 376 to 528 matches the Rfam family "Bacterial large subunit ribosomal RNA", at positions 2473 to 2626 of the family's 2925-position model. Lineage: Eukaryota; Metazoa; Arthropoda; Insecta; Hymenoptera; Apidae. RNAcentral also lists the same sequence under 1 other name. The record is from RNAcentral.